GGAAGUAAAGUCGUAACAAGGUCUCCGUUGGUGAACCAGCGGAGGGAUCAUUACCGAGUUUACAACUCCCAAACCCAAUGUGAACCAUACCAAACUGUUGCCUCGGCGGGGUCACGCCCCGGGUGCGUCGCAGCCCCGGAACCAGGCGCCCGCCGGAGGGACCAACCAAACUCUUUCUGUAGUCCCCUCGCGGACGUUAUUUUUACAGCUCUGAGCAAAAAUUCAAAAUGAAUCAAAACUUUCAACAACGGAUCUCUUGGUUCUG
This 265-nucleotide unclassified non-coding RNA is filed under the name plant metagenome. Its description in RNAcentral is "partial contains small subunit ribosomal RNA, internal transcribed spacer 1, and 5.8S ribosomal RNA". The stretch from base 1 to 53 matches the Rfam family "Eukaryotic small subunit ribosomal RNA", at positions 1778 to 1831 of the family's 1831-position model. The record is from RNAcentral.